GGAAGGGGCCUGGGCCUGGGGGAGACAAAAAGGAAGGAGGGACAGGGCGGGGUCCUCAAGGGCGUUGUGGUCAGGGUUUGGCCUUCAUCCCGAGAUCCAGAAAAACCUGAGAAGAAACCCGGGGCAGGGGCUGAAGUGCUCCCCCACAUUCUGCUGAGAAGGGAUUGGGUAGAGGGUCAGAGUAGACCCCUGCCCGUCACGGCUGUACAGGCCUGGGCCCAGAGCACUACUGGUAAAUGACUCCUCCCCAAAUCCAGUCUUCGACUCACAGAAGUAAAAUUCAGAUCAGAAUCUUCUUAUUAUUUAAUAACUUCUUUUUUCUGAAUGUAAAGUAAACACUCCACACUGCAGGGCGUUGGGCAGUCACCAAAUCUGAAGGACUCUGUGGGAAGGAAGGGUCCGGCUCCUCUCCUGGAGAACCGGGCCUCGGAGCAAGUUAACUCAGGCUUCCAGCCUGUUCUGGGCGUCAGCCUGACUCCCAGGUUCUUUGAUAGGUAGUGAGUCCCCCAUUCCUGGGGGCAUGUAGGCUGUCUACGUGGAGUUAAAAAAAAAAAAAA
RNAcentral lists this long non-coding RNA (557 nucleotides) under Marmota monax (woodchuck). Lineage: Eukaryota; Metazoa; Chordata; Mammalia; Rodentia; Sciuridae. The record is from RNAcentral.